RNAcentral lists this ribosomal RNA (533 nucleotides) under fungal endophyte. Its description in RNAcentral is "eukaryotic LSU rRNA". The stretch from base 216 to 369 matches the Rfam family "5.8S ribosomal RNA". The record is from RNAcentral. Lineage: Eukaryota; Fungi.
UCGUAACAAGGUCUCCGUUGGUGAACCAGCGGAGGGAUCAUUACUGAGUUUACGCUCUAUAACCCUUUGUGAACAUACCUAUAACUGUUGCUUCGGCGGGUAGGGUCUCCGCGACCCUCCCGGCCUCCCGCCUCCGGGCGGGUCGGCGCCCGCCGGAGGAUAACCAAACUCUGAUUUAACGACGUUUCUUCUGAGUGGUACAAGCAAAUAAUCAAAACUUUUAACAACGGAUCUCUUGGUUCUGGCAUCGAUGAAGAACGCAGCGAAAUGCGAUAAGUAAUGUGAAUUGCAGAAUUCAGUGAAUCAUCGAAUCUUUGAACGCACAUUGCGCCCGCCAGCAUUCUGGCGGGCAUGCCUGUUCGAGCGUCAUUUCAACCCUCAAGCUCUGCUUGGUGUUGGGGCCCUACAGCUGAUGUAGGCCCUCAAAGGUAGUGGCGGACCCUCCCGGAGCCUCCUUUGCGUAGUAACUUUACGUCUCGCACUGGGAUCCGGAGGGACUCUUGCCGUAAAACCCCCCAAUUUUCCAAAGGUGA